UAAUCACUGCAGUAAUUAUCUAAAUGAAAGAGAUUCACCAUUUGCUGUGUUAAACCUGUUUGGGGGCCUUUUUUUUAGCUAGGCUGUGUAUAUACCAAGAUACAAGUGUUCUCAGAUCUGAAGUGCAUUUGUUGCAUGUCAUUCCCCAUCAAACAAAAGUCCUCAGUUCCAGUCCAGGUUUUCUGUUUUUCUACCCUACUGUGAACUACAUAAAUGACUGUCACUGUAGGAUCUUGAAAACAAUCAACCCUCAUUACAGUAAAUGACUGAAAAGUCAAUCUGAUCAGUUGCUGUGUUCAUCAGUGUGUUUUCUAGCACAUUUUAUUAUUGCAUUAAUAAGAUGCAGUUGCAAAGCUUAUAGCCAUCCCUGUAAAGCUGGUUUUCAUAAACACACUUGCUGAGUCCCAUACUGUACUGCUGCUACUGUGCUCUCAGUGCAAACAAGAGGGCUGCGCUUAAGGUCAACACCAACCAAGGGGUUACUGUCCAACGAACACUAGAAUGAGCUGAGGCUCAUUGUCUCUUCCCCCACUGGUGAAAAGUUCAACAAACCAAGCAAACGUACAACUUAAGGGCAUUUGUAACACUCAUCGCAGGAUGGUGCCUCCUUCCAAAUACACCGACUAGAGCUGAUAGUCUUAAGUAUUUAUUGUUUUUCAAGCAUAGGGAUGGACCUCAGGAUGUUUCUGAGUAUGAAUUAGGUGUUGAGUUUUAGUUGUAAAAUGAACACUCAUACCAUAUGUGGGGAUGUGAUGUCAUAGUACAUAAGUAGGAGAUGCUUUGAUAGCUUUAUUUAGUUAAUAAAGGAUUAUUGAACAUUUAUGUGCAAUGAUGGUAGGUGCUCAGGGACUAAAGAGCUAUUCUAGAUGAAACGUAGUAAUGUCCUUAUUGAAUAGAGAUUACUGGACACAGAUGGAAAAAGUCUAUGAUGAUUCAAAUGAAGGGGUUUUGUUCCAAAAAGAUACUUCCAUUGUUAACCAAGUCAGCAAAAGCGAAUCAGAUGGCUUGUAAAGUAGUUCAACUUAUUUUGGAUUUUAACUCUUAGACGAGGAAAAUAUCAGUAAGUGAAUAAACACUGGGAUGAGAAUGUGCUUCAUAUGAAGGCUAAAGGACUUUUCUGAAGUGCUUUUUGGUGAAGCAUGUCACUGGAUAUUCUGUUGUUUGUGUGUGUGAAUUUUUCUGUCAGAGGAAGAAAGUUAUAUCAGAGGACGAUCAGACAUACAGGUGGACACAGUUUCAUACUCCCAUUCACAGUCUUUUAUUCUCCAGGGUAGCUGUUCAAAUCCAACACAAAGUGCAGAUCAGUUUUCUGGUUCUGCUUUAAUAAUGCAAAACUCCAAACUGACCACAUUCACACAGCAGUCGUUUUCCUUUGAUGUCAUACUCAAAGUGAGAAGAUCAAAUGGUGAUAGUAAUAGUGUAAUGUUCUAGCUGCUGGCAAAACAACAUAUUUAUUCUGCCUGACAUGAUGAUAGCUUAUAUUAGCAUUAAACCACUUCCUAGUUCACGUUAUGAUAAUAAAGAUGUAAAUUCAUUUGAAAAUAUCAGUCACUGUUUUGCUGUGUACAGACAGAUGGAAAGACAGCAACCUAACAAGACAGAAGUAAUAUUUCAGAUGUAAUUUACAUUUUUACUGCGUCAUGCAAUGCUCUCAAAUGGCAGUGUUGGCUAGUACGUAGCAUAAUGCUAACUUAGCCUUUAGCAUUAGCCAACAGUAGCUCAAGGUUAUCGCCAACUAAAAAGACACCU
This is a long non-coding RNA of Sphaeramia orbicularis (orbiculate cardinalfish), 1749 nucleotides long. RefSeq lists it as uncharacterized. The transcript is spliced from 2 exons. The record is from RefSeq and is a predicted model, not a curated record. NCBI's taxonomy places the organism in Eukaryota, Metazoa, Chordata, Actinopteri, Kurtiformes, Apogonidae.